RNAcentral lists this ribosomal RNA (411 nucleotides) under Triticum aestivum (bread wheat). RNAcentral describes it as "partial small subunit ribosomal RNA". Lineage: Eukaryota; Viridiplantae; Streptophyta; Magnoliopsida; Poales; Poaceae. The record is from RNAcentral.
AUGUUCCUAGUGGCGUGGGCCGCCGCAUCCCGUGGUGGCUCCGCACCCCCGGCCCCGUCCUUCGACCGCUCCGUGGUCGCCCCACGCGACCCAUCGCCGCGCACGUAUACCAGCGACGCCCUGAUCGACCGCCUGUUCUCUCCUCUCAGCUCCGUGCCUCUCCCUUCGGCCUCGGCCGCUGCCACCUCCAUCAACCGCAUCUACCACGUAGCAGCGCACGACGUCGCAACGCUGCAUGCCUUGGCCGGGCCAGGGCGCACGAAGCUCGAGGCAUUCACGGCGCACCUGUGGCAGCUCUGCUCCAUGGCGGCCUCCGGACAGCAGCGUCUGUGCUGCAUGGGCAUGGUGGUGGACGAGCGUGCUCGCAUGUUCCCCGACGGCGCCAUGAAGGCCUACUUCGGCAAUUGCUGA